RNAcentral lists this ribosomal RNA (800 nucleotides) under uncultured eukaryote. Its description in RNAcentral is "bacterial SSU rRNA". It matches the Rfam family "Eukaryotic small subunit ribosomal RNA", at positions 612 to 1426 of the family's 1831-position model. The record is from RNAcentral.
GUUGCGUCUAAAAAGCUCGUAGUCUGAAAACUUGUCUUGGCUUUCAACUGGUACCGAAUGGUAUCGCCGUUAGUCAUGUGCAAAUAUGGAUAGCUGUUUUAGCCGUCUUUAUUGACUGGUUCAUAAGAGUUAUCAGAUAUCACUUUGAUUAAAUUAGAGUGCUUAAAGCAAGUGUGUUACUUGGAUAUAAAUGCAUGGAAUGAUGGAAUAUGUUGUUAUUCUAUUUGUUGGUUUUUGAAUGAUAAAAUGAUUGAAAGGAACUGUUGGGGGCAUUCGUAUUGUUGUGAGAGAGGUGAAAUUCUUAGACCACAGCAAGACGAACUACUGCGAAAGCAUUUGCCAAGAAUGUUUUCAUUGAUCAAGAACGAAAGUUAGAGGUUCGAAGGCGAUCAGAUACCGCCCUAGUUCUAACCAUAAACUAUGCCAACUAGCAAUCCGCCGAAGUUCCUCCGAUGACUCGGCGGGCGACUUCCGGGAAACCAAAGCUUUUGGGUUCCGGGGGAAGUAUGGUUGCAAAGCUGAAACUUAAAGGAAUUGACGGAAGGGCACCACCAGGAGUGGAGCCUGCGGCUUAAUUUGACUCAACACGGGAAACCUCACCAGGCCCGGACACCGGGAGGAUUGACAGAUUGAUAGCUCUUUCUUGAUUCGGUGGGUGGUGGUGCAUGGCCGUUCUUAGUUGGUGGAGCGAUUUGUCUGGUUAAUUCCGAUAACGAACGAGACUCUAGCCUGCUAACUAGUCGCUUCCGACAUCCUUUUGCGCUGUCGGCGACACAUAAUCUUCUUAGAGGGACAGGCGG